UCCGGCGGGGGCUAUCGUUGCUCGGAAUUACUGGGCGUAAAGCGCACGUAGGCGGACUUUUAAGUCGGGGGUGAAAUCCUGGAGCUCAACUCCAGAACUGCCUUCGAAACUGAAAGUCUUGAGUUCGGGAGAGGUGAGUGGAACUGCGAGUGUAGAGGUGAAAUUCGUAGAUAUUCGCAAGAACACCAGUGGCGAAGGCGGCUCACUGGCCCGAUACUGACGCUGAGGUGCGAAAGCGUGGGGAGCAAACAGG
Molecule: ribosomal RNA, 253 nt
Filed under: uncultured bacterium
Lineage: Bacteria
Description: partial 16S ribosomal RNA
Rfam family: Bacterial small subunit ribosomal RNA
Source: RNAcentral